Molecule: ribosomal RNA, 1363 nt
Filed under: Hysteropatella elliptica
Lineage: Eukaryota; Fungi; Ascomycota; Dothideomycetes; Patellariales
Description: eukaryotic LSU rRNA
Rfam family: Eukaryotic large subunit ribosomal RNA
Source: RNAcentral
GUUUGACCUCGGAUCAGGUAGGGAUACCCGCUGAACUUAAGCAUAUCAAUAAGCGGAGGAAAAGAAACCAACAGGGAUUGCCUCAGUAACGGCGAGUGAAGCGGCAACAGCUCAAAUUUGAAAUCUGGCCUCUUCGGGGUCCGAGUUGUAAUUUGUAGAGGAUGCUUCGGAGUCGGCUCCGGUCUAAGUGCCUUGGAACAGGACGUCACAGAGGGUGAGAAUCCCGUAUGUGGCCGGCCGCCUUCUCCAUGUGAAGCUCCUUCGACGAGUCGAGUUGUUUGGGAAUGCAGCUCUAAAUGGGAGGUAAAUUUCUUCUAAAGCUAAAUAUUGGCCAGAGACCGAUAGCGCACAAGUAGAGUGAUCGAAAGAUGAAAAGCACUUUGGAAAGAGAGUUAAAAAGUACGUGAAAUUGUUGAAAGGGAAGCGCUUGCAACCAGACUUGCCCGCGGUUGCUCAACCGGCCUUUUGGCUCGGUGCACUCUUCCGCGGUCAGGCCAGCAUCGGUUCGGGCGGUCGGAUAAAGGCCUUGGGAAUGUAGCACCCUUCGGGGUGUGUUAUAGCCCUCGGUGCAAUGCGGCCAGCCUGGACCGAGGUCCGCGCUUCGGCUAGGAUGCUGGCGUAAUGGUUGUAAGCGGCCCGUCUUGAAACACGGACCAAGGAGUCUAACAUCUAUGCGAGUGUUUGGGUGUCAAACCCAUGCGCGUAAUGAAAGUGAACGGAGGUGGGAACCCUAGGGUGCACCAUCGACCGAUCCUGAUGUCUUYGGAAGGAUUUGAGUAUGAGCAUAGCUGUUGGGACCCGAAAGAUGGUGAACUAUGCCUGAAUAGGGUGAAGCCAGAGGAAACUCUGGUGGAGGCUCGCAGCGGUUYUGACGUGCAAAUCGAUCGUCAAAUUUGGGUAUAGGGGCGAAAGACUAAUCGAACCAUUGACGGAAAGUUAGCUACUAGGUGGUUUAGAGGCGAUCCCGUCCCUGGUGGAAGGGUCGCCUAGUCCCCACAUCCGGGGCUACACUACUAAAUUGCGGGGACGCUCUGAGGGCUCGAGACUACCSCGGCCGCCCCGAAAGGGACGGUGCAGCACCGGGGUGUACCACCCCGCGGUACGGUGAGAACGUCCGAGACUGAGCAACCGCGCAGCCAAGUCCUAACCCGGGCGACCCCCGGCACGGAUGCAGUUCACAGACUAGACGGUAGUGGGUGCGAAUCGCUCGCGCUUAAGAUAUAGUCGGACCCCCUCGAGAGGAGGGUUCGCGGGAGGAAGCCCUCGCGCCGGAUGCCCCUUCGACUCUUCGUCGGAGGGGGCGCGUCGGGGGCCCGAAGCCCGCGAAGGGGGAGGCUCCGCCCUUUUUUCGAAGAGGUGCGGU